CCUACGGGAGGCAGCAGUGAGGAAUAUUGGUCAAUGGGCGGGAGCCUGAACCAGCCAAGCCGCGUGAGGGAAGAAGGUACAGCGUAUCGUAAACCUCUUUUGUCAGGGAACAAAGGCGGGGACUAGUCCCCGGAUGAGGGUACCUGAAGAAAAAGCAUCGGCUAACUCCGUGCCAGCCGCCGCGGUAAUACGGAGGAUGCGAGCGUUAUCCGGAUUUAUUGGGUUGAAAGGGUGCGCAGGCGGCCUGUUAAGUCAGCGGUAAAAGCCCGGGGCUCAACCCCGGCGAGCCGUUGAAACUGGGGGGCUGGAGUUGGAGAGAGGUGCGCGGAAUGCGCGGUGUAGCGGUGAAAUGCUUAGAUAUCGCGCAGAACCCCGAUUGCGAAGGCAGCGCACCGGCUCCACACUGACGCUGAGGCACGAAAGCGUGGGUAUCGAACAGGAUUAGAUACCCUUGUAGUC
RNAcentral lists this ribosomal RNA (459 nucleotides) under uncultured bacterium. Its description in RNAcentral is "partial 16S ribosomal RNA". It matches the Rfam family "Bacterial small subunit ribosomal RNA", at positions 338 to 795 of the family's 1533-position model. The record is from RNAcentral.